RNAcentral lists this ribosomal RNA (785 nucleotides) under uncultured bacterium. Its description in RNAcentral is "bacterial SSU rRNA". It matches the Rfam family "Bacterial small subunit ribosomal RNA", at positions 28 to 809 of the family's 1533-position model. The record is from RNAcentral.
GACGAACGCUGGCGGCGUGCCUAACACAUGCAAGUCGAACGGAACUUUUUUAAAAGAUUUCUUCGGAAUGAAUUUGAUUAAGUUUAGUGGCGGACGGGUGAGUAACGCGUGAGUAACCUGCCUCUAAGAGGGGAAUAACAUUCUGAAAAGAAUGCUAAUACCGCAUAAUAUAUAUUUAUCGCAUGGUAGAUAUAUCAAAGAUUUAUCGCUUAGAGAUGGACUCGCGUCCGAUUAGUUAGUUGGUGAGGUAACGGCUCACCAAGACUGCGAUCGGUAGCCGGACUGAGAGGUUGAACGGCCACACUGGGACUGAGACACGGCCCAGACUCCUACGGGAGGCAGCAGUGGGGGAUAUUGCGCAAUGGGGGAAACCCUGACGCAGCAACGCCGCGUGAAGGAUGAAGGUCUUCGGAUUGUAAACUUCUUUUAUUAAGGACGAAGAAAGUGACGGUACUUAAUGAAUAAGCUCCGGCUAACUACGUGCCAGCAGCCGCGGUAAUACGUAGGGAGCAAGCGUUGUCCGGAUUUACUGGGUGUAAAGGGUGCGUAGGCGGCUUUGCAAGUCAGAUGUGAAAUCUAUGGGCUCAACCCAUAGCCUGCAUUUGAAACUGCAGAGCUUGAGUGAAGUAGAGGCAGGCGGAAUUCCCCGUGUAGCGGUGAAAUGCGUAGAGAUGGGGAGGAACACCAGUGGCGAAGGCGGCCUGCUGGGCUUUAACUGACGCUGAGGCACGAAAGCGUGGGUAGCAAACAGGAUUAGAUACCCUGGUAGUCCACGCUGUAAACGC